This 253-nucleotide ribosomal RNA is filed under the name uncultured bacterium. RNAcentral describes it as "partial 16S ribosomal RNA". It matches the Rfam family "Bacterial small subunit ribosomal RNA", at positions 524 to 776 of the family's 1533-position model. The record is from RNAcentral.
UACGGAGGGUGCAAGCGUUAUCCGGAUUCACUGGGUUUAAAGGGUGCGUAGGUGGAGUGGUAAGUCAGUGGUGAAAUCUCCAAGCUUAACUUGGAAACUGCCGUUGAUACUAUCAUUCUUGAAUAUCGUGGAGGUAAGCGGAAUAUGUCAUGUAGCGGUGAAAUGCUUAGAUAUGACAUAGAACACCGAUUGCGAAGGCAGCUUACUACACGAUCAUUGACACUGAGGCACGAAAGCGUGGGGAUCAAACAGG